RNAcentral lists this ribosomal RNA (1450 nucleotides) under metagenome. RNAcentral's name for it is "bacterial SSU rRNA". It matches the Rfam family "Bacterial small subunit ribosomal RNA". The record is from RNAcentral.
UGCUUGCAGGGGAAAGUAAAGUGGCGCACGGGUGAGUAACGCGUGGGUAACCUGUCCUAAAAUCUGGGAUAACUUCGCGAAAGCGAUGCUAAUACCGGAUACCGUCUUAGAGACCUUGGUUUCUUAGAUGAAAGAUGACUUCUUUAUGAAAGUUGUCGUUUAAGGAGGGGCUCGCGUACCAUUAGCUAGUUGGUGGGGUAAUGGCCUACCAAGGCUACGGUGGUUAGCUGGUCUGAGAGGAUGACCAGCCACACUGGAACUGAAAUACGGUCCAGACUCCUACGGGAGGCAGCAGUGAGGAAUUUUGCGCAAUGGGGGAAACCCUGACGCAGCAACGCCGCGUGAGUGAAGAAGGCCUUUGGGUCGUAAAGCUCUGUCAGGUGGAAAAAAUGAUACAUGGUAAAUAGCCAUGUAUUUUGAUGGUACCACCAGAGGAAGCACCGGCUAACUCCGUGUUAGCAGUCGCGGUAAUACGGAGGGUGCAAGCGUUGUUCGGAAUUACUGGGCGUAAAGAGCGUGUAGGCGGUAUGGUAGGUCAGAUGUGAAAGUCCUGGGUUUAAUCCAGGAAGUGCAUUUGAUACUGCUAUUCUUGAGUAUGGGAGAGGUGAGUGGAAUUCCCAGUGUAGAGGUGAAAUUUGUAGAUAUUGGGAGGAAUAUCCGUGGCGAAGGCGACUCACUGGACCAAUACUGACGCUGAGACGCGAAAGCAUGGGGAGUAAAUAGGAUUAGAUACCCUGGUAGUCCAUGCCAUAAACGAUGAGAACUAGGUGUAGCGGGUAUUGACCCCUGCUGUGCCGAAGCUAACGCAUUAAGUUCUCCGCCUGGGGAGUACGGCCGCAAGGCUAAAACUCAAAGGAAUUGACGGGGACCCGCACAAGCGGUGGAGCAUGUGGUUUAAUUCGACGCAAUGCGAAGAACCUUACCUGGAUUUGACAUCCUUUGACCGUCCUGGAAACAGGAUUUUCCAUGUUUACAUGGACAAAGUGACAGGUGCUGCAUGGCUGUCGUCAGCUCGUGUUGUGAGAUGUUGGGUUAAGUCCCGCAACGAGCCAACCCCUGUUUUUAGUUGCCUUUAUUAAGUUAGGCACUCUAAAGAUACUGCCUCGGUUAACGGGGAGGAAGGUGGGGAUGACGUCAAGUCCUUAUGGCCUUUAUAUCCAGGGCUACACACGUGCUACAAUGGGCUGUACAAAGAGCAGCAACUCCGUGAGGGGAAGCUAAUCUUAAAAAGCAGUUCUCAGUUCGGAUUGGAGUCUGUAAUUCGACUCCAUGAAGUUGGAAUCGCUAGUAAUCGUGGAUUAGUAUGCCACGGUGAAUACGUUCCCGGGUCUUGUACACACCGCCCGUCACACCACGAAAGUUGACUGUACCAGAAGUUGCUAGGCUAAUUUUUUGGGGGAGCAGGUACCUAAGGUACGGCCAGUAAUUGGGGUGAAGUCGUAACAAGGUA